This 218-nucleotide ribosomal RNA is filed under the name uncultured bacterium. RNAcentral describes it as "partial 16S ribosomal RNA". It matches the Rfam family "Bacterial small subunit ribosomal RNA", at positions 524 to 740 of the family's 1533-position model. The record is from RNAcentral.
UACAGAGGGUGCGAGCGUUGUCCGGAAUCACUGGGCGUAAAGGGCGCGUAGGUGGCGACCCAAGUCGAUGGUGAAAGCUCGCCGCUCAACGGCGAGUCGGCCACUGAUACUGGGUUGCUGGAGCACUGUAGAGGCAGAUGGAAUUCCGGGUGUAGCGGUGGAAUGCGUAGAGAUCCGGAAGAACACCGGUGGCGAAGGCGGUCUGCUGGGCGAGUUGC